CCUACGGGGCGCAGCAGUAGGGAAUAUUGCUCAAUGGGGGAAACCCUGAAGCAGCAACGCCGCGUGGAGGAUGAAGGUUUUCGGAUUGUAAACUCCUUUUGUUAGGGAAGAUAAUGACGGUAUCUAACGAAUAAGCACCGGCUAACUCCGUGCCAGCAGCCGCGGUAAUACGGAGGUUGCAAGCGUUACUCGGAAUCACUGGGCGGAAAGAGCGCGUAGGCGGGAUAGCAAGUCAGAUGUGAAGUCCUAUGGCUUAACCAUAGAACUGCAUUUGAAACUGUUAUUCUAGAGUAUGGGAGAGGUAGGUGGAAUUCUUGGUGUAGGGGUAAAAUCCGUAGAGAUCGAGAGGAAUACUCAUUGCGAAGGCGACCUGCUAGAACAUAACUGACGCUGAUGCGCGAAAGCGUGGGGAGCAAACAGGAUUAGAUACCCCUGUAGUC
This 440-nucleotide ribosomal RNA is filed under the name uncultured bacterium. Its description in RNAcentral is "partial 16S ribosomal RNA". It matches the Rfam family "Bacterial small subunit ribosomal RNA", at positions 338 to 795 of the family's 1533-position model. The record is from RNAcentral.